This is a long non-coding RNA of Hyla sarda, 911 nucleotides long. RefSeq lists it as uncharacterized. The transcript is spliced from 4 exons. The record is from RefSeq and is a predicted model, not a curated record. Lineage: Eukaryota; Metazoa; Chordata; Amphibia; Anura; Hylidae.
CUACAGUUCAAGUUAAAAGUUGAAGUUCUUGGUUACAAGUUGGAAUGUUGGAUCUCAUUGUGUUAUCAGUUAUUUGAAAAAGUUAAGAAAGUGAACAGCCCCAUCAAACAGGAUUUAGUGGACAUUUAGUGGACAUUUUUGUGGAUAUAACAAGGACGUCCAUUUAUGUGGUAAAGGAGUUCAUCAAAUCAGUGGCAGGAUUUGGCACCAUUUUGUAUGAGGUUACAAUAUACAAGUCAACAUGAAACUUUGGUAAUAGAAUACAGAGGUAAUACAAUAAACCUGAAUAUUGCCAACAUUUCUAACAUAACAAAACUGUCAACCAUCCUAAAAAUAAUGAUUCUUUAAUCUUUUAGGUUUGUGAAGGUGCCCAGUUGUUGCUGCUGCUGGUGUCAGCCAAUGGAGGUGAUUGGCUGAUUCUUGAUAUUGCCGUCAGGAGGUCCAUCCUUAGCUGUGCUGUGGCCUGAAGGUGUUGCUGGCUGACCCGAGCCAACAUCAUUUGGAAGUCGUCGGCCUGCCGACGGUGAAGUCGGUGCAUGGUCCUAUUCAAGCGUCGCAUCUCCCGUGCAAGGUGCCUCGUCUCCCUGGACAACCUGUCCCUUUCUUGGAGUACCCUAAGUUUUACCGUGUGCAUUACAUCUCAGUAAAGAUUACAUCAGUUAAGCAACCAGCAUGUCUUUCCUUGAGAUUCGGUAUAAACUUGAUGUGACGCUGUGUAACUUAAACAACAUACAGCAGAGCCAUUAUGUGAAGUGAUGGGAGAGUGUGACACUCAUCAAUCGGGAGCCAAGAGGGUAUGGGUAUCAGCUCGAUCCCUAUGAAAUCCCAGACUUUCUCCAGCUCCUCUGGGUGAUGUACAGAGAUGCGCUUACCAUCUUUCAGGAUGGAAAGGCCAAAGGGAUACAGCCACA